CAGCCGCACGCGCACAGAGUGAAGCGGGAAGCUUGUCUGGAGUCUCUCUCGAGCUGAUUUCAAACAGUAAAGAAGCAACGGCUUUUAUUUCAUUUGGCUUUUUGUUCUCUUUAACUACACUGAAUUUACCUCAGUUGUUGGUUAUUUAUUAUAUUAUUAUUCUAGAAACUGGAAGCGAGCGCUGACGAGACCAAGGAUGAAAAAGGAUUCGAGUCACUCGAGCGGUGCCGCUGCAGCCCAAAGCUAAGGUGGACAGCUGAGAUUGAACAAGACCUGAUUCCCUUUGUUUCUCAUUGAAACAGACGGCUGUUAGUAACUGCGCUGACGAGACCAAGGAUGAAAAAGGAUGAAAAAGGAUUCGAGUCACUCGAGCGGUGCCGCUGCAGCCCAAAGCUAAGGUGGACAGCUGAGAUUGAACAAGUCCUGAUUCCCUUUGUUUCUCAUUGAAACAGACGGCUGUUAGUAACUGGUUCGAGUCAUCAACGAAGGGUGAUGCAACAAGAAGCACAGAAGGGGGCGCCAAUCCACCACAGAGUCCGAGCCAACAGACUAAUAACCCUGAGACUUCCCCAGUCGAUUUGAGUGGAGAGAGAAGCGU
Molecule: long non-coding RNA, 598 nt
Organism: Acipenser ruthenus (sterlet)
Lineage: Eukaryota; Metazoa; Chordata; Actinopteri; Acipenseriformes; Acipenseridae
Exons: 5
Source: RefSeq, a predicted model, not a curated record